Molecule: long non-coding RNA, 748 nt
Filed under: Phoenix dactylifera (date palm)
Lineage: Eukaryota; Viridiplantae; Streptophyta; Magnoliopsida; Arecales; Arecaceae
Description: long non-coding RNA (PDAC_LNC016526)
Source: RNAcentral
UUUUUCGACGGUUUAAACUUUUGUUGUUGAUCGGAAAGUAAAACUUUUGUUUUGAUACAACAAGAGCAUGACAGGAUGAAUGUGGGAAGUAUAGACAAAUAUCAAAAUAUUACUCUUGCUUAAAAAAUUCAAGCCACCAUCCAGAAUCUACAAAGUCCCUAUUGUUUCUCUGACAUGGUGCUAUAUAUCGUCAACCGGCAGUUUCAUGCGUCUCUUAUUUCAGACUCGUCUGUGGUUAAUUUGAAGAGCUUUCAAGAGAGAUUAAAUCAUACGGAGGCAAUCAAUCUAACGUCCGUCUCCUACAAAUACAAACCGGCAAAAACAGAGGAUGGAGGACUCGUGGAAGAAGUGGGUGGGUGACAGGAAAUUGUACCGUGGUGAAGAGGAGAAAUGCCCUCCUCCACAUGUCUCGGCCCUUCCGAUUCAGACAUUGUUUUUGCCCUCCUCCUUGUCCUGCAGCAGGGUCGUCAAUUCAUCUGAGAUCGAUUCCGAACAAAAAAGGGACCUCGAACCGAUCGAGUUUGGAUUAUAACGUGGGGGCAGUUAGGAACAGCCACCUACUUUUUAGCAGCGUUGAUGGUCAGGGGAAAACGAGGCCUUCGCGCCACCCCGAGCUUAUCGUCGACUAAAAGAAGGGAAUGGCAAUGGUUGAAACCCGUCUUGCCACAUGUCCCUCUUGUCACCGGCUGGAUGAAUUCAGGCUCCACCUGCUUUUACUCAACACUUCCUGGAAUCCCGCUUCCAGUUC